RNAcentral lists this ribosomal RNA (253 nucleotides) under uncultured bacterium. Its description in RNAcentral is "partial 16S ribosomal RNA". It matches the Rfam family "Bacterial small subunit ribosomal RNA", at positions 524 to 776 of the family's 1533-position model. The record is from RNAcentral.
UACGUAGGGUGCAAGCGUUGUCCGGAAUUAUUGGGCGUAAAGAGCUCGUAGGCGGUCUGUCACGUCGGCUGUGAAAACUCGGGGCUCAACCCCGAGCCUGCAGUCGAUACGGGCAGACUAGAGUCCGGCAGGGGAGACUGGAAUUCCUGGUGUAGCGGUGAAAUGCGCAGAUAUCAGGAGGAACACCGGUGGCGAAGGCGGUUCUCUGGGAAUGACCUGACGCUGAGGAGCGAAAGUGUGGGGAGCGAACAGG